This 378-nucleotide ribosomal RNA is filed under the name uncultured bacterium. RNAcentral describes it as "bacterial SSU rRNA". It matches the Rfam family "Bacterial small subunit ribosomal RNA", at positions 524 to 898 of the family's 1533-position model. The record is from RNAcentral.
UACGUAGGGGGCAAGCGUUGUUCGGAAUUACUGGGCGUAAAGGGCGCGUAGGCGGCACAGCAAGUCGGGAGUGAAAGCCCGGGGCUCAACCCCGGAACUGCUUUCGAAACUGCUGAGCUAGAGUACAGAAGGGGCAACCGGAAUUCCCAGUGUAGCGGUGAAAUGCGUAGAUAUUGGGAAGAACACCUGAGGCGAAGGCGGGUUGCUGGGCUGAUACUGACGCUGAGGCGCGAAAGCCAGGGGAGCAAACGGGAUUAGAUACCCCGGUAGUCCUGGCCCUAAACGAUGGAUACUUGGUGUGUGGGGUUCUCUGAGUCCCCGCGUGCCGGAGCUAACGCGGUAAGUAUCCCGCCUGGGGAGUACGGUCGCAAGGCUGAA